This 29-nucleotide small RNA is filed under the name Bombyx mori (domestic silkworm). Its description in RNAcentral is "piRNA piR-bmo-1403468". The record is from RNAcentral. Lineage: Eukaryota; Metazoa; Arthropoda; Insecta; Lepidoptera; Bombycidae.
UUCCACACUUGAACUUUGUACUCUCGACC